CCCUUGGGCCCGCGGGAUUAGGGUUUUGAUUCUGGCUCAGGAUGAACGCUGGCGGCGUGCUCAACACAUGCAAGUCGAACGAACCUUCGGGUUAGUGGCGGACGGGUGAGUAACGCGUGAGAAUCUGCCCUCAGGAGGGGGAUAACAGCUGGAAACGGCUGCUGAUACCCCAUAUGCCGCGAGGUGAAAUGAAUUUCGCCUGAGGAUGAGCUCGCGUCUGAUUAGCUAGUUGGUGUGGGUAAUGGCUCACCAAGGCAUCGAUCAGUAGCUGGUCUGAGAGGAUGAUCAGCCACACUGGGACUGAGACACGGCCCAGACUCCUACGGGAGGCAGCAGUGGGGAAUUUUCCGCAAUGGGCGAAAGCCUGACGGAGCAACGCCGCGUGAGGGAUGAAGGCCUCUGGGCUGUAAACCUCUUUUAUCAAGGAAGAAGAUCUGACGGUACUUGAUGAAUAAGCCACGGCUAAUUCCGUGC
This 474-nucleotide ribosomal RNA is filed under the name uncultured bacterium. RNAcentral describes it as "bacterial SSU rRNA". It matches the Rfam family "Bacterial small subunit ribosomal RNA", at positions 1 to 508 of the family's 1533-position model. The record is from RNAcentral.